AAACUAUUAAAAUGUACUUAUUAAAGCAAAAAGAGGGAAUUGGGAAGGGGUAUAUAUCCCCCAAAGAUAAACUUAAGAUAAUCCUUUUUACUCUAAACUUUUUAAAAUUUGGAUUCAUCAGGGCUCAGUGCUGCGGAAAGGCAUAUGUGUCCAAAAAAUGUACAUAAGCCUAAGGUACUUUGGAAAGAUAUUCUAACAGGACAAUGGAAAGGUCCUGACCCAGUGAUUGUCUGGAGUCAGGGUUCUGUUUGUGUGUUUCCACAGGGAGAACAGCAGUCGAUUUGGAUUCCAGAGAGACUAACCAAAGCGAUUUCUACAGACCAAAAAGAAGAUGAUUUGACUCAAAUCCAUAACAGCUGAUAUCCAGAGCUCCAGCUUGGCUAUUCUUACAUCUGCAACAGUGAUUAACCAGGAUGCUUUUUUCAAUAUCUAUUUUAUUAUUGCCUUUUCCCACAUUAUAAAGUUCUAUUUUAUUUUUUGAGCUCAUACAGACCUAGGUUAAUGUUUUUCUGAUCAGUUUUAUUUUUUGAUUGUGGAGUUUUUAAACAUUGCAAUGGAGAUUUCUCCUAUGUAAAGCUACAAGGCCUUUACUAUUGUCUUAUGUGUUGUAUGUUAUGUGUGCACACUUCUGUUUUGUGUUGUAUGUCUGUGUGUGCGUAUGUCCAUAUAUCAUAUAUGAGGAGCGCUCAUGAAAUAAUGGAUCCGAAUUUUUUUUUUAUUCACAUGAUUUAAAUGUUUUAAUUUAAAUUAGGUAAACAGCUGUUAAGGAUUGUUUUUAAAGGUGGUUAACAGAUCUGUUUGUUUACUUUCACCUUUCCUUUUCAUUAUAUUUAAUAAUUCUGUUCAGGAUAAUGUCAAUUGUUCAGAAAAUUGUUUUCUUAGUACCUGUUGGAAUGUUACAUAUUUUUUUUUUAGCAUCAUUGCCAGAAUUCCUAUCUUCAUCCCAGGGCCGGUGAAGACAAAGAUAAAACCAAACUACAGCUUCUUUGAUAGCUAUCACAGUAAACUGUAUAAAUUGAUGCUUCAGUGAAUAAUAACUCAACAAGUAGUGCUCAAUCAAGGAGUCGAUUUUCUUUGGGAGGAAAUGGACAUAUUGAUAGAUUCCUCCACUUUGAACUGCUUGCAGAACUUGUCUGGACUAUGUAUCACUUGUAUACAUUGUGAACUAUCGUUUGGUGCAGCGAAUUGUGGUAAUGCUGGAGUAUCUUUGCUGAUGGUGUCAUUGGUGGUACAAUUUUUCCAAAGGAGCUGUCAAUUGGCUUGCUGUCGUGGCAUUUCUGUAUCCUCCUCCCUUCUGUUAGUGAUGGUCUAAAAUUUGGGGGCCAACAGAGGUGAGGCAAAGAACCUCACCCCCCCACUGGUGCAUAGGCCUAUCCACAAGUAUGGCUGUAUGCUGGACCGGUAGUCAGUGACAGGUAUGAUCCAAUCGCAGUUGUACCAACCCAAGACAGGAGGCUGACACCUAGAGGUCAGCUCAUCCGAUGAUGGGUAAGGACCAUAUGUUGAAUUGGACAACUUAACAGGCACAGUCCCUAAGCCACAUUGCUUGUUGUUUAAUUAAUCAGAAGGGGGGACCUGGAAGAUACAAAAAUAUUUAAUAUACAAAUAAUAGCAAUAGCACCAUAGUUACUUUGAUAUUUUAUAUUAAUUCAGUUUAGGGCUUAAGAAAAUAACAUUAUAAUAUUUUUUAAAUAACAGUUGUUGUUUAACCAUAAUUGUAUAAUCCUUAAUUCCUUUAAGAUUACUUGCUCAAAAAACAAGACUUAAUGAACACAAUGUUAUGAGUAAAUCAAUGUUUUAGAAAUCUUCAUUUUUAACAUACAGAUUAAACUUUGUUUUUAUAUCAUUGGAUCUUAAGGAAAAUCUUCAAAUAGCCUGACUAAUCAUUUUACAUAUAUAUAAAACCAACUCAUAUGGAACUUUUAAUUUUUUAAAAUCUUUUAUCCUCGUGUUCACAAUAUGAAACUAUCCUUGUAAUUUUUUUUUACUUUAGACAAAUUAUUCUAUUUUAAUAAAGAAUAUUUUAUGUUG
This 2031-nucleotide long non-coding RNA is filed under the name Marmota monax (woodchuck). Lineage: Eukaryota; Metazoa; Chordata; Mammalia; Rodentia; Sciuridae. The record is from RNAcentral.